GUGGGCGGAAGCUCAUUGUAGAGGUCACAUGCUGAGUGCUCGUCACUCCACCAAUCACCUCGGGGAAGGUCUGAGACAAGAGCCAAUAGUUACCCUUGCAGGGUAUCACCUGAUUCGGGUGAGCGAGUGAACAGAAAAUAUGGGUUAACGUGAGCAGUCGUCGCAGGAGAAGCUUGGUGGCGCAGUUUCUCAGCACCACCGGCGGAUGUGACUCUCACUGACUUGGAAUCGCUCGCGGCUGGCGGAUGAGUGCGAUGUAUGAGGUGGGGCACAGCUCCAGAACCCAAUUCAGACUACUCUCCCCCCAC
This 308-nucleotide RNase P RNA is filed under the name Dicentrarchus labrax (European seabass). RNAcentral's name for it is "Nuclear RNase P (ENSDLAG00005019538.2)". It matches the Rfam family "Nuclear RNase P". From Rfam's summary of the family: Ribonuclease P (RNase P) is a ubiquitous endoribonuclease, found in archaea, bacteria and eukarya as well as chloroplasts and mitochondria. The record is from Rfam by way of RNAcentral. Lineage: Eukaryota; Metazoa; Chordata; Actinopteri; Moronidae.